CUUGGGUACUCGAGUGGCGAACGGGUGAGUAACACGUGGGUGAUCUGCCCUUCACUUCGGGAUAAGCCUGGGAAACUGGGUCUAAUACUGGAUAGGACCAUCGUUUAGUGUCGGUGGUGGAAAGUUUUUUCGGUGGAGGAUGAGCUCGCGGCCUAUCAGCUUGUUGGUGGGGUAAUGGCCUACCAAGGCGACGACGGGUAGCCGGCCUGAGAGGGUGGACGGCCACAUUGGGACUGAGACACGGCCCAG
RNAcentral lists this ribosomal RNA (249 nucleotides) under uncultured Actinomycetales bacterium. Its description in RNAcentral is "partial 16S ribosomal RNA". It matches the Rfam family "Bacterial small subunit ribosomal RNA", at positions 82 to 334 of the family's 1533-position model. Lineage: Bacteria; Bacillati; Actinomycetota; Actinomycetes; Actinomycetales. The record is from RNAcentral.